AACGCUGGCGGCAGGCCUAACACAUGCAAGUCGAACGGUNACAUUUCUAGCUUGCUAGAAGAUGACGAGUGGCGGACGGGUGAGUAAUACUUAGGAAUAUGCCUUUGUGUGGGGGAUAACUAUUGGAAACGAUAGCUAAUACCGCAUAACGUCUUCGGACCAAAGGGGGCUUCGGCUCCCGCGCAAAGAGUAGCCUAAGCGAGAUUAGCUUGUUGGUGAGGUAAAGGCUCACCAAGGCGACGAUCUCUAGCUGUUCUGAGAGGAAGAUCAGCCACACUGGAACUGAGACACGGUCCAGACUCCUACGGGAGGCAGCA
Molecule: ribosomal RNA, 317 nt
Filed under: Glaciecola sp. FRA000013
Lineage: Bacteria; Pseudomonadati; Pseudomonadota; Gammaproteobacteria; Alteromonadales; Alteromonadaceae
Description: bacterial SSU rRNA
Rfam family: Bacterial small subunit ribosomal RNA
Source: RNAcentral